GAUUCCCACCCCACCGCCUCCUCCCCUCUCCAAAACCUCCCCCCAAACCCUCGGAAACCCAACCUCGCCGCCUCCGCCGCCGCCGCCAUGCGCCGAUCCAACGAUGGCCGCCCCUUCCGCCCGCCGGACUGGGGCCCGCCGCCGCACCGCUACCACCACCACCACCAGAACCAGUACCAGUACCAGCAGCGGUAUCGCCCCGCGCAGCCGGGGCCGCGGCAGUUCGCCGUGAUCCUCCUCCGCGGGGGGAGCAACCUCUCGGCGCCGCCGGCCACGGAGGUCGAGGCACUCGUCGCCGGCCUGCCCUCCCCUCCCCCGGACAGCCUGAGCGUCUCCUCGUCGGGCCGCCAGGCCGCGCGCCUCGCGUUCCGCUCCCCGCAGGCCGCCGCCGCCGCCGCGCGCGAGCUCUGGUCGCUCCGCCUCGAGGGCCUCCACCUCCUCACCCCGGACGUCUCCGAUCCCGCCCUCGCCGCGCACGCCGCCCCCCUCAUCGCCUCCCUCUUCGCCGCCCACGCCGCCCGCCUCGUCGACUCCGACCUCGUCUCCCUCACGGCCGCCCGCUCCUCCGAGCUCGCGGCCUCCAUCCAGGCGGUGAAGCGCCGCCUGGCGGGGCACAAUCGCAUCCGCGACUUCGAGCAGCUCCAGGCCCAGAAGAGAACUCUCAAGGCUGAGAAGGAGUUGGUAGAUGCUAAAAUCGAUGAGUACAAAGCCGCGAUGAGAUCGAUACGGCGUGCAUUGUUGCGUGGGACGGAGGAUGACGAGGAGGCAGAGGAGGAAGGGUUGGAGGUGUUUGGGAUUGGGGGAGGUGGUGAGAUGAAUUUCGCUAGGCUGCACAUGAUAAUGCUGCGGGAAUGUAGAAGGCUUAAGGAGGGGCUACCCAUCUAUGCUUACCGCAGGAACAUUCUAGAUCACAUUUUCGCUAACCAGGUGAUGAUUUUGAUUGGGGAAACUGGUUCUGGGAAGAGCACACAAUUGGUUCAGUAUCUUGCUGACUCAGGUCUUGCUGCUAAUGGUUCAAUUGUCUGUACUCAACCCCGAAAAAUUGCUGCUAUAUCAUUGGCACAUAGAGUAGUUGAAGAAAGCAAUGGUUGCUACGGGGACAACUUUGUGUUGAAUUCAACCUUUUUAGAUCAUCAAGAUUUCAGUUCAAAGAUUAUAUAUACCACAGACAACUGCCUUUUGCAUCACUGUAUGAAUGAUAUGGGACUAGAUGGCAUUUCAUAUAUUAUUGUUGAUGAAGCGCAUGAACGAAGCUUGAACACCGAUCUUCUCUUAGCUUUGAUUAAGAAGAAACUGCUUGAUAGGCUGGAUUUGAGACUUAUCAUAAUGUCUGCUACUGCCGAUGCUAAUAGACUCGCUGAAUAUUUUUAUGGAUGCCAAACAUUUUAUGUUAAAGGGCGAAGUUUUCCUGUUGAAAUUAAAUAUGUCCCUGAUAUAUCAGAAGAGGCUUCCUUCAAUACCGUGCCAAACCAUCUGCGCGGUUCUUGUGCUACUGCUUCAUAUGUUUACGAUGUUGUGAAAAUGGUAAGCAUCAUUCACAAGAAUGAAGAAGAGGGUGCUAUCCUUGCUUUCUUGACUUCUCAACUCGAAGUUGAAUGGGCAUGUGAAAACUUCAGCGAUGCAGAUGCUGUGGUACUUCCGAUGCAUGGAAAGCUUUCCCAUGUAGAGCAAAGUCUAGUUUUCAAGAGCUAUCCUGGGAAGAGAAAAAUAAUCUUCUGCACAAAUAUUGCUGAAACAUCAUUGACCAUAAAAGAAGUGAAGUAUGUUGUUGAUUCUGGACUGGCUAAGGAGAGCAGAUUUGUGCCUAGCAGUGGUCUCAAUGUACUGAAAGUUAAUUGGAUCUCCCAAAGUUCUGCUAAUCAGCGUGCUGGCCGAGCAGGUCGAACUGGAGCGGGGAGGUGUUACAGGCUUUACUCUGAAUCUGACUUCAGUAUGAUGGAAGUGCAUCAAGAACCUGAAAUCCGCAAAGUUCAUCUUGGCACUGCUGUUCUGAGAAUACUUGCGCUGGGUAUUAGGGAUGCACAGAAUUUUGAAUUUGUUGAUGCCCCAAACCCAGAAGCUAUUAAUAUGGCUGUAAAGAAUCUUGAACAACUGGGUGCUGUAAAAUAUAAAUGUGAUGGUUUUGAGCUGACUGAUACUGGUCGCUACCUAGUUAAAUUGGGAAUCGAGCCGAGGCUUGGGAAAAUCAUGCUUGAUUGCUUUGGUUUUGGUUUGAGGAAGGAAGGUGUAGUUCUAGCUGCUGUUAUGGCAAAUUCUAGCAGCAUAUUUUGUAGAGUGGGCACAGAUGAGGAGAAAUACAAAGCUGACCGUCUAAAGGUCCCAUUCUGUCAUCAGGAUGGAGAUCUGUUCACUUUACUAGCUGUAUAUAAAGAGUGGGAGGAUGAGCAUGAAAACAGGAAUACGUGGUGCUGGCAGAAUAGCAUCAAUGCCAAGACCAUGAGGAGGUGCCAGGAAACAAUAUCAGACCUUGAGAAUUGUUUAAGACACGAGCUGAACAUCAUUGUCCCAAGUUACUGGUGUUGGAACCCUGAGGAGUCCACCGUGCAUGAUAAGUUGCUAAAAAGAAUUAUUCUCACAUCUCUUUCUGGUAAUAUUGCUAUGUUUUCUGGACAUGAAAGGUUUGGUUACCAGGUGAUUUCAACGGAUCAGGCUGUGAAACUACAUCCCUCUUGCUCAUUGCUCAUUUAUGAUAGCAAGCCUGAGUGGGUGGUGUUCACAGAAAUCUUGUCAGUACCAAAUCAAUAUUUGGUAUGUGUAACUGCUAUUGAUCCUGAUGCUUUGUGUUCGAUUCACCCCAUGCCUUUGAUUCAGCAACUGGAGAAGCUUAAAUUGCAGGUGAAGGUAAUAAGUGGACUUGGAUAUAACUUGCUGAGAAAAUUUUGUGGAAAAUCUGGCCAAAAUCAGCAGAAGAUAAUCUCACUUCUCCAAGAAGAAUUCAGGGAUGACCGUGUGACUGUUGAAGUUGACUUCAGAAAUAAAGAGGUUGUGCUAUUUGCCAAAGAACAAGACAUAGAAAAGGUGUUUGGCAUCGUUAAUGAUGCAUUGGAGUGUGAAGCUCGGAUGUUGAGGAAUGAAUGCCUUGAGAAAAGUUUGUUUUCUGGAAAACCUGGUGAUUGUUCUCUUGCCCUAUUUGGUUCUGGUGCUGAAAUAAAGCAUUUGGAACUUGAGAAGAGGUAUCUGACCGUAGAGGUUUUGCAUCAAAAUGCUCAUGAGUUGAAUGACAAGGAGCUUAUUUGCUUGGUGGAUACUCUUAUCUCUGGUGUUGCUAAUUUUUAUAAACUUUAUGGAAAUCUUCAGGUGGCCUCAGAUGAAACGAAGUGGGGGAAGUUUACAUUCCUCAAUCCUGAAUAUGCUGAAGAUGCUGUUUCAAAAUUGAAUGGGAUGGAAUUUCAUGGUUCUCCAUUGAAAGUGGUUCCAGUAUGCUCUUCCAGUAAUCGAGGAUUACCAUUUCCAGCAGUGAGAGCUAAAGUAUCUUGGCCACUUAAGCAAAGUCGGGGACUCGCGCUGGUAACAUGUGCCAGUGGGGAAGCUGAAUUUGUUGUAAAGGACUGCUUUGCUCUGGGAGUUGGUGGAAGGUAUAUCAACUGUGAGGUUAGUACAAGACAUGAGAAUUGCAUUUUUGUCAGAGGAAUUCCAAUGCAUGUAACAGAGCCAGAAUUGUAUGAUGCCUUUCGUAGCACGACAACAAGGAAAAUCGUUGAUGUGCAUUUGCUCAGGGGAACACCCAUAGCUGCCCCUUCUGCUUCCUUGUGUGCAGAAGCACUAAAUAGAGAAAUUUCUUCCUUCAUGCCAAAGAAAAUUUUUCCUGCCCAAAAUUUCCGUGUUGAGGUGUUAACUCCAGAGGAGAAUGAUUCGGUGAUGAGAGCCACUAUUACUUUUGAUGGAAGUCUUCAUCGAGAGGCUGCAAGAGCAUUGGAACAUCUUCAAGGAAGUGUUCUUCCAUGCUGUCUUCCUUGGCAGACAAUACAAUGCCAGCAUGUGUUUCAUAGUACUGUGUCCUGUCAAGUACGCGUGUAUAAUGUUAUCAGCCAAGCAGUUGCUUCUCUUCUUGAGAGCUUCCGAAGCCAAAAAGGCGUGUCUUACAAUUUGGAAAAGAAUGAAUAUGGUAUAUUCCGUGUCAAGCUUACUGCAAACGCCACAAAAACAAUAGCAGACUUGAGAAGGCCUCUUGAGAUUUUAAUGAAAGGCAAAACAAUAAACCAUCCUGAUCUGACACUAAGUACAGUUCAGUUGCUCAUGUCCCGUGAUGGUGUAGCAGAUUUGAAAUCUGUUGAGCAAGAGACUGGCACUUACAUUCUGUAUGACAGACAAAGUCUAAAUAUUAAAGUCUUUGGACUCCAAGAUCAGGUUGCUGCAGCAGAGGAGAAAUUGAUCCAUGCCCUUCUACAACUCCGUGAUAAGAAACCUUUGGAUAUUCGUCUUCGUGGCCGUAACCUACCUCCAAACUUGAUGAAGGAAAUGUUAAAAAAGUUCGGGGCUGAUCUGGAAGGAUUGAAGAGAGAGGUGCCUGCAGUAGAGCUUCGAUUAAAUUUACGACAACAUACACUUUACGUUCGAGGCAGUAAAGAAGACAAGCAAAGGGUGGAAGAAAUGAUCUCUGAGCUGGUAAAUUCUACAAAGUACAAUGGCCUGCUUCAACUUCCAUUAGAGAAUGCAUGCCCUAUUUGCCUGUGUGAGGUAGAAGAUCCCUUUAAGCUUGAAUCUUGUGGGCAUGUGUUUUGUCUGACUUGCUUGGUGGAUCAGUGUGAAUCUGCUUUGAAAUCACAUGAUGGUUUCCCUCUGUGUUGCCUCAAAAAUGGGUGCAAGAAGCAGCUCCUUGUUGUUGAUUUGAGAUCUCUCCUAUCGAGCGAGAAACUGGAAGAGCUAUUUAGAGCCUCCUUGAGAGCAUUUGUUGCUUCUAAUGCAGGAAAAUAUCGUUUCUGUCCUACUCCUGAUUGCCCAUCCAUUUACCAAGUGGCUGCUGCAGAUGCUGAAAGCAAACCUUUUGUCUGUGGGGCUUGCUUUGUGGAGAUCUGCAACAAGUGUCAUCUUGAAUAUCAUCCUUUCAUAUCCUGUGAGGCAUACAAAGAAUACAAGGAAGACCCUGAUGCAACUCUGCUUGAAUGGCGCAAGGGGAAGGAGAAUGUGAAGGUAUGCCCUUCUUGCCACUUUACAAUCGAGAAAGCUGAUGGUUGCAACCAUGUCGAGUGUAAAUGUGGCAGUCACAUUUGUUGGGCAUGCUUGGAGAACUUCAGGAGCAGUGAUGAUUGUUAUAGCCAUCUCAGGGUCCACGUGGAUUGACCCUAGGUGUGCUCUCGUCUCGCACGCGGCAGCGGCGGCGACUUCAGGCGACGCGGCACUGUGCUCCACCGUCGGUGUGCACUCUACCUGCAGGCGGCGGAGCAGUGACCGACGAGGUGCUCUACCUGUGGCAGCGGCGGAUGGAGGCACCAGUGGGCGGCGGCUAUCUGCUUGAUGGCCAACCGGAGGAGCAGUGACCGGCGAGGUGUUCCGGAGGACACUCCACCGGCAGCAACGAUGAGGGCUCCGGAGGACACCCAGCCACAUCGCCACCUUCGUCCAGCUGGGUUUCUCUCGCCCGUGAGCACCGAACCUGGGCCUAGAGGAUUCAAUGGAUUGUGGAAGCUUAUGGAUGUCCAAAUGAAGGAUCUGGUUAUUGAUGAUUCCAUGAACUUGGACGAGUCAAUGAAACGAAUGGACCUUUGAAAUACUCUGUUCUGUAAUCAUCAUUGCAUAGAAGAUAUUUUCUAGCUUCGUUAAUUUUUAGUCUGUCACUUUGAUGCCCUGGAUAUUUGUGAUGUUUAACUUCAUAUUUUGUGGAUGAUAUUUGAUCCUUGAAGGUUGCACUUUUAGUGUUGAUUUGUUUUACACAACAGAAAUUUCUAUAGUGAUAUUUGAUUCUGUAAGACUGCAUUUUUAGUAUUGUUGAUUUGCUUUGGACAACAGAAAUUUGAAAUUUCUGUAUAUUCGAUCUUGAA
Oryza sativa Japonica Group (Japanese rice) is the source of this 5978-nucleotide RNA transcript. It is a transcript of the gene named ATP-dependent RNA helicase DEAH11, chloroplastic, with no coding region annotated. The record is from RefSeq and is a predicted model, not a curated record. NCBI's taxonomy places the organism in Eukaryota, Viridiplantae, Streptophyta, Magnoliopsida, Poales, Poaceae.